CCUACGGGAGGCUGCAGUGGGGAAUAUUGCGCAAUGGGCGAAAGCCUGACGCAGCGACGCCGCGUGAGGGACGAAGGUCUUCGGAUUGUAAACCUCUGUCAGUAGGGAAGAACGGUCACUGUGCUAAUCAGCAGUGAAUUGACGGUACCUGUAAAGGUAGCACCGGCUAACUCCGUGCCAGCAGCCGCGGCAAUACGGAGGGUGCGAGCGUUAAUCGGAGUUACUGGGCGUAAAGCGGUCGUAGGCGGUAUGUUAAGUCAGGGGUGAAAUCCCCGCGCUCAACGGGGGAACUGCCUUUGAGACUGGCAGACUAGAGUGUGUGAGAGGAUGGUGGAAUUCCAGGUGUAGGAGUGAAAUGCGUAGAUAUC
This 368-nucleotide ribosomal RNA is filed under the name uncultured bacterium. Its description in RNAcentral is "partial 16S ribosomal RNA". It matches the Rfam family "Bacterial small subunit ribosomal RNA", at positions 338 to 698 of the family's 1533-position model. The record is from RNAcentral.